RNAcentral lists this signal recognition particle RNA (290 nucleotides) under Cercocebus atys (sooty mangabey). RNAcentral's name for it is "Metazoan signal recognition particle RNA (ENSCATG00000021925.1)". It matches the Rfam family "Metazoan signal recognition particle RNA". From Rfam's summary of the family: The signal recognition particle (SRP) is a universally conserved ribonucleoprotein. It is involved in the co-translational targeting of proteins to membranes. The eukaryotic SRP consists of a 300-nucleotide 7S RNA and six proteins: SRPs 72, 68, 54, 19, 14, and 9. Lineage: Eukaryota; Metazoa; Chordata; Mammalia; Primates; Cercopithecidae. The record is from RNAcentral.
GCCAGGCUCUGUGUCAUGUGCCUGUACUCCCAGCUACUUGGAGGCUGAGGCAAGAGGAUUGUUUGAGUUCUGGGCUGUAAUGUGUUAUGCUGAUUGGGUGUCCAUAACAAGUUUGGCUUCAAUAUGGUGACCUCCCAGGCGUGGUAGAUUACCAGGUUGCCUAGCAGGGGGUGAACUGACCUAGGCUGGAAGUGGAGUAGGUCAAAACUCCUGUGUUGAUCAGGAGUGGGAUCAUACCUGUGAAUAGCCACUGCCCACAAGCCUGAGUGACACAGUGAGACCCUGUCUCU